GACAAAAAUGCUUAUUUUCCAAAAGCUAUUUUUUUCUCUCAUCUUCCUCACAUAACAACAACAAUACACUCAAAUUCUUCAUCUAGUUUUUCAGAAAAAAUUGAUAAAACAAACAACCAACAAUCAGAUUCCGUUUUUGAUUUGGAAUUGUUUCAAUUUCGGUUUCGCGGUUUUAUUUGAGCUUCACGGCUAUGUUUGGUAUUCACGAAGGUUUUUUGUUCAGAAACCAGUUCUGUUUUGCUUCGAGUUUGGAGGUUUCGACUCAGUGCGGAGUUUGGAUUCGAGCAGAGCUUUUUCAAGAUUUUGGUUUAAAUUAAAAUUAAAGCUAGUAUACAACAUCCUAAAGCUAAAUUGGAUGAGCGCUUACCAGUUCAAAUGAAGAAAAAUACAGAUUUUAUCCUUUCUCGCAAGGAAAUUUGAAGACAUUUUUGACGUGGACCACUUCAUUGUCCGUAUUGUCCGCGAUAUCCCAGAAUGGUUUACUGAUAAAACAGAUCUAUUUUCUAGUAUAAGGUUUUUGUUUCAGUGAUUCAGCAGAAAAUAGAACUUCUCGAUUCGUAUUUCGUAUUUCGAAUUUCAUAUUGAGAAUUUGUAUAGCAGACUUGGGAUCUCAUGGAAGCCGAUAGGUAUUCUUCAAAACCAGUUAUAUUUAGUGGAAAGUUGAAUGGUUUUUUAUUUUUUAUGAAGUAAUUUGUUGUGUGAUAUAAACAUUCCUUUCAUAAUGCUCAUGAAUGUCUUACCGGAUUAAAUACCCCAACCACCUUUGAGAUGCCAUUGGAAAUUUUCGGUCACGAAUUGCAAUUUUUUCAGGUAUUGUACUUUGUGGAAAGUGUUCUUUCUGCA
Molecule: long non-coding RNA, 843 nt
Organism: Vicia villosa (hairy vetch)
Lineage: Eukaryota; Viridiplantae; Streptophyta; Magnoliopsida; Fabales; Fabaceae
Exons: 4
Source: RefSeq, a predicted model, not a curated record